This 1293-nucleotide ribosomal RNA is filed under the name Bacillus altitudinis. Its description in RNAcentral is "bacterial SSU rRNA". It matches the Rfam family "Bacterial small subunit ribosomal RNA", at positions 22 to 1299 of the family's 1533-position model. Lineage: Bacteria; Bacillati; Bacillota; Bacilli; Caryophanales; Bacillaceae. The record is from RNAcentral.
GCUCAGGACGAACGCUGGCGGCGUGCCUAAUACAUGCAAGUCGAGCGGACAGAAGGGAGCUUGCUCCCGGAUGUUAGCGGCGGACGGGUGAGUAACACGUGGGUAACCUGCCUGUAAGACUGGGAUAACUCCGGGAAACCGGAGCUAAUACCGGAUAGUUCCUUGAACCGCAUGGUUCAAGGAUGAAAGACGGUUUCGGCUGUCACUUACAGAUGGACCCGCGGCGCAUUAGCUAGUUGGUGAGGUAACGGCUCACCAAGGCGACGAUGCGUAGCCGACCUGAGAGGGUGAUCGGCCACACUGGGACUGAGACACGGCCCAGACUCCUACGGGAGGCAGCAGUAGGGAAUCUUCCGCAAUGGACGAAAGUCUGACGGAGCAACGCCGCGUGAGUGAUGAAGGUUUUCGGAUCGUAAAGCUCUGUUGUUAGGGAAGAACAAGUGCAAGAGUAACUGCUUGCACCUUGACGGUACCUAACCAGAAAGCCACGGCUAACUACGUGCCAGCAGCCGCGGUAAUACGUAGGUGGCAAGCGUUGUCCGGAAUUAUUGGGCGUAAAGGGCUCGCAGGCGGUUUCUUAAGUCUGAUGUGAAAGCCCCCGGCUCAACCGGGGAGGGUCAUUGGAAACUGGGAAACUUGAGUGCAGAAGAGGAGAGUGGAAUUCCACGUGUAGCGGUGAAAUGCGUAGAGAUGUGGAGGAACACCAGUGGCGAAGGCGACUCUCUGGUCUGUAACUGACGCUGAGGAGCGAAAGCGUGGGGAGCGAACAGGAUUAGAUACCCUGGUAGUCCACGCCGUAAACGAUGAGUGCUAAGUGUUAGGGGGUUUCCGCCCCUUAGUGCUGCAGCUAACGCAUUAAGCACUCCGCCUGGGGAGUACGGUCGCAAGACUGAAACUCAAAGGAAUUGACGGGGGCCCGCACAAGCGGUGGAGCAUGUGGUUUAAUUCGAAGCAACGCGAAGAACCUUACCAGGUCUUGACAUCCUCUGACAACCCUAGAGAUAGGGCUUUCCCUUCGGGGACAGAGUGACAGGUGGUGCAUGGUUGUCGUCAGCUCGUGUCGUGAGAUGUUGGGUUAAGUCCCGCAACGAGCGCAACCCUUGAUCUUAGUUGCCAGCAUUCAGUUGGGCACUCUAAGGUGACUGCCGGUGACAAACCGGAGGAAGGUGGGGAUGACGUCAAAUCAUCAUGCCCCUUAUGACCUGGGCUACACACGUGCUACAAUGGACAGAACAAAGGGCUGCGAGACCGCAAGUUUUAGCCAAUCCCUCAAAUCUGUUCUCAGUUCGGAUC